GCCGGGUGCGGUGGCUCACGCCUGUAAUCCCAGCACUUUGGGAGGCUGAGGCAGGAGGAUCACCUGAGGUCAGGAGUUCGAGACCAGCCUGGCCAACAUGGUGAAACCCCGUCUCUA
Pongo abelii (Sumatran orangutan) is the source of this 117-nucleotide unclassified non-coding RNA. It matches the Rfam family "Metazoan signal recognition particle RNA". From Rfam's summary of the family: The signal recognition particle (SRP) is a universally conserved ribonucleoprotein. It is involved in the co-translational targeting of proteins to membranes. The record is from Ensembl. Lineage: Eukaryota; Metazoa; Chordata; Mammalia; Primates; Hominidae.